AUGCUCGCUUUGGCAGCACAUAUACUAAAAUUGGAAUGAUACAGAAAAGAUAGCAUGCCCCUGUGCAAGUAUGACAAACAAAUUAGUGCAGCAUUCCAUAAAAAAUUUAU
Suncus etruscus (white-toothed pygmy shrew) is the source of this 110-nucleotide small nuclear RNA. The record is from RefSeq and is a predicted model, not a curated record. Lineage: Eukaryota; Metazoa; Chordata; Mammalia; Eulipotyphla; Soricidae.